UCAAACUUGGUCAUUUAGAGGAAGUAAAAGUCGUAACAAGGUCUCCGUAGGUGAACCUGCGGAGGGAUCAUUACAGAGUUCGUGCCCUCUGGGCAGACCUCCCCACCCAUUGUCAUCGUCACGAUUGUUGCCUUGGCGGGCCCGCCCACGGCGCCCGCCAGAGGCCCCACAGACCCGUGAAUGUUAGCGUCGUCAGAGGACCCCAUUACAAUAGUCAAAACUUUCAACAACGGAUCUCUUGGCUCUGGCAUCGAUGAAGAACGCAGC
Molecule: unclassified non-coding RNA, 267 nt
Filed under: uncultured fungus
Lineage: Eukaryota; Fungi
Description: partial contains small subunit ribosomal RNA, internal transcribed spacer 1, and 5.8S ribosomal RNA
Rfam family: Eukaryotic small subunit ribosomal RNA (bases 1-73)
Source: RNAcentral